This 432-nucleotide ribosomal RNA is filed under the name uncultured bacterium. RNAcentral's name for it is "partial 16S ribosomal RNA". It matches the Rfam family "Bacterial small subunit ribosomal RNA", at positions 29 to 506 of the family's 1533-position model. The record is from RNAcentral.
AACGAACGCUGGCGGCAUGCCUAACACAUGCAAGUCGAACGAGACCUUCGGGUCUAGUGGCGCACGGGUGCGUAACGCGUGGGAACCUGCCCUUAGGUUCGGAAUAACUCCCCGAAAGGGGUGCUAAUACCGGAUAAUGUCUUCGGACCAAAGAUUUAUCGCCUUUGGAUGGGCCCGCGUUGGAUUAGCUAGUUGGUAGGGUAAAAGCCUACCAAGGCGACGAUCCAUAGCUGGUCUGAGAGGAUGAUCAGCCACACUGGGACUGAGACACGGCCCAGACUCCUACGGGGGGCAGCAGGGGGGAAGUUGGGACAAGGGGCGAAAGCCUGAUCCAGCAAUGCCGGGUGAGUGAUGAAGGCCUUGGGGUUGUAAAGCUCUUUUACCCGGGAUGAUAAUGACAGGACCGGGAGAAUAAGCCCCGGCUAACUCCGG